UUUAUUAGAUUAAAAACCAAUGCCCUUCGGGGCUCUCUGGUGAUUCAUGAUAACUUCUCGAAUCGCAUGGCCUUGUGCCGGCGAUGGUUCAUUCAAAUUUCUUCCCUAUCAACUUUCGAUGUUUGGGUAUUGGCCAAACAUGGUUGCAACGGGUAACGGAGGGUUAGGGCUCGACCCCGGUAGAAGGAGCCUGAGAAACGGCUACUACAUCCAAGGAAGGCAGCAGGCGCGCAAAUUACCCAAUCCCGACACGGGGAGGUAGUGACAAUAAAUACUGAUACAGGGCUCUUUUGGGUCUUGUAAUUGGAAUGAGUACAAUUUAAAUCCCUUAACGAGGAACAAUUGGAGGGCAAGUCUGGUGCCAGCAGCCGCGGUAAUUCCAGCUCCAAUAGCGUAUAUUAAAGUUGUUGUGGUUAAAAAGCUCGUACUUGAACCUUGGGCCUGGCUGGCCGGUCCGCCUCACCGCGUGUACUGGUCCGGCCGGGCCUUUCCCUCUGUGGAACCCCAUGCCCUUCACUGGCUGUGGCGGGGAAACAGGACUUUUACUUUGAAAAAAUUAGAGUGCUCCAGGCAGGCCUAUGCUCGAAUACAUUAGCAUGGAAUAAUAGAAUAGGACGUGUGGUUCUAUUUUGUUGGUUUCUAGGACCGCCGUAAUGAUUAAUAGGGACAGUCAGGGGCAUCAGUAUUCAAUUGUCAGAGGUGAAAUUCUUGGAUUUAUUGAAGACUAACUACUGCGAAAGCAUUUGCCAAGGAUGUUUUCAUUAAUCAGGAACGAAAGUUAGGGGAUCGAACACGAUCAGAUACCGUCGUAGUCUUAACCAUAAACUAUGCCGACUAGGGAUCGGACGAUGUUAUUU
Molecule: ribosomal RNA, 857 nt
Filed under: Cosmospora coccinea
Lineage: Eukaryota; Fungi; Ascomycota; Sordariomycetes; Hypocreales; Nectriaceae
Description: SSU rRNA
Rfam family: Eukaryotic small subunit ribosomal RNA
Source: RNAcentral